AACAAAUGACAGUUGAUGAAAAGCCCUAUUUGCUGUCUUUUUCUAUAAAUCACAAACGUUUGUUACCUAUAGAAAAAGAUCAUCAUCAUCAUUGGCUCGACAGCCCUUUCUGGGUCUUGGCCUGUUCCAGGAUUCUUCUCCACUCUGAUCUGUUUCGUGCUUUUUUUUCUCCAGUUUUUUAUUUUUAAUGUUUUUAUAUCAUUUUCUAUUUGUUCUAAAAUAGAAAAAGAUAGCAAAUACAAAAUAAGUGAUUGAUGUGAUCGUUCAUGGGUAUAGGCCCUAACAACACACAACAUUCCAGGAAUGUACUACCAAAGUUCUAUCAAUAUUUGAAUGUCCUGGACAUUUAGGGAACAUUCGGUGAACAUCUGUUUAAAUUAUUCCUGGAAUGUUACCAUAAGACAUUCUGUGAACAUACUACCAAUGUUCCUAUAUUUUAAGUUGCGAAAUAAUACAUACGUGUAAGAGAUACAACAUUACUUAUAACAUACCAGACAAACUAAGUGACAUUUUAGGCCUACAGUGCAAUAAUAUGUCAAAUUUAAAGAGUUUCCCAAGAUUAUAAACAUACAAAUGUAAUAAAAAUUAUUGUUCGCGAAUAUUCAAUUUGGAAUGCGAUUUUGUUAAUAAAAAAAAUACUUAUAACUUAUGCAAAACCCAAGAGAGGCAUUUAUAUUUAUUUCUUUUGCGUUCAUUUUCAAAUUCGCCGUGCAUAUAUUUUUGUGCAUGGCGCUUGAGAGGGCAUCACGUGACUAAAAACGACCAACCAACGACCUCGCUUCGGCCAUCUUGGCAUCUUCAUCUUGGCGACCUCUAUGUUGGCGACCUUGCCUUGCCGUGGAUUGUUUUUAGUUGUUUGUAUUAUUUGUGCUUUUUAAGAAUAUUUUUUUAAUUCGGAUACUUUUAUAAUAGCUUUAAUAGUAUUAUUAACAUAGUGCAUAAAAUGGUGUCCUGUUUUUAACGCAGUUGGAGUAGCAGAAACAAAUGUAGAUAAAAAAAUCUGCAGGAAUAACGUUUCAAUUAUGACAGAAGCUCAAAACAAAUGACUGUGAAUGAAAAGCCCUAUUAAAAGCUUUCCAGAAGAUCCUGCGAAGAAGACAUGAAGUAUAGAUCAGAUUUGUUAAUAGAGGAGUAUGUUCAAAACACUUUUUAGAAAAAGAUAUUGACAGAACUUCACUUUCAUCUGUUCGUUUGAGAGACUGUGCUGUUCCAAUAGCUUAUGUCACACAGAAUCAGCUGAGAGAAGUGGUCUACAAAAAACCAGAAAGGAAACGGAAUAUGUGGUUACGAAAAGCAAAAGAAAGGUUUACAAAGCAAAUGUAACACAUUUUUUUAUAAUAUUUAGGAAUGUCAGCAAAUUACAUUAAAAAAUGUAUGUAAAGAUUUUUUGCAAUAAAAAUGUUUAUAUUUA
Molecule: long non-coding RNA, 1411 nt
Filed under: Diabrotica virgifera virgifera (western corn rootworm)
Lineage: Eukaryota; Metazoa; Arthropoda; Insecta; Coleoptera; Chrysomelidae
Description: uncharacterized LOC126884284
Source: RNAcentral